This 408-nucleotide long non-coding RNA is filed under the name Coffea arabica (coffee). RNAcentral describes it as "long non-coding RNA (CARA_LNC007139)". The record is from RNAcentral. Lineage: Eukaryota; Viridiplantae; Streptophyta; Magnoliopsida; Gentianales; Rubiaceae.
GGUGUUUCAAGCUUCACUUACCAAGAACCAAGAGAGAGAGGGAUGUUGACCACCUUAGGCCUUCAAACAAAUCUCACCAAACUACUUACUAACACUAGAAGGAAAUUUUUAUGGAGUGAAAUCAACUCUAAGCUUUGGUUUGUGGUAGAUUGGACCAAAUGGAAGCUUGCAAAAAUGGAGAAGUUCCCUUCCUUCUUGAGCUAAGGAGAGCCGGCCAACAAGAGAAGAAAAAUGGUGAUUUUUGGUGAAUUUUUGGAUAUUUACUUAGUUGGGUCAAAAGUCAAAAAAAAUGUCAAAAGGUGAAUAGUGUUUCAUAAAAGGUAUCCAAUAAGAAAGUGACAUGUGUCACUCUAUUAAAUGCAAUCUUAUCAUUCUUUUCUCUCUCACAUCAAUCACUUCAUAUACUCU